This 475-nucleotide ribosomal RNA is filed under the name uncultured organism. RNAcentral describes it as "partial 16S ribosomal RNA". It matches the Rfam family "Bacterial small subunit ribosomal RNA", at positions 335 to 801 of the family's 1533-position model. The record is from RNAcentral.
ACUCCUACGGGAGGCAGCAGUGGGGAAUUUUGGACAAUGGGCGAAAGCCUGAUCCAGCAAUGCCGCGUGAGUGAAGAAGGCCUUCGGGUUGUAAAGCUCUUUUGUCAGGGAAGAAACGGUGAAAGCUAAUAUCUUUUGCUAAUGACGGUACCUGAAGAAUAAGCACCGGCUAACUACGUGCCAGCAGCCGCGGUAAUACGUAGGGUGCAAGCGUUAAUCGGAAUUACUGGGCGUAAAGCGUGCGCAGGCGGUUUUGUAAGUCUGAUGUGAAAUCCCCGGGCUCAACCUGGGAAUUGCAUUGGGGACUGCAAGGCUAGAAUCUGGCAGAGGGGGGUAGAAUUCCACGUGUAGCAGUGAAAUGCGUAGAUAUGUGGAGGAACACCGAUGGCGAAGGCAGCCCCCUGGGUCAAGAUUGACGCUCAUGCACGAAAGCGUGGGGAGCAAACAGGAUUAGAUACCCGAGUAGUCCCAUGAU